Molecule: ribosomal RNA, 253 nt
Filed under: uncultured bacterium
Lineage: Bacteria
Description: partial 16S ribosomal RNA
Rfam family: Bacterial small subunit ribosomal RNA
Source: RNAcentral
UACGUAGGGUGCAAGCGUUGUCCGGAAUUAUUGGGCGUAAAGAGCUCGUAGGCGGUCUGUCGCGUCUGCUGUGAAAACUCGGGGCUUAACCCCGGGCCUGCAGUGGGUACGGGCAGACUAGAGUGCGGUAGGGGAGACUGGAAUUCCUGGUUUAGCGGUGAAAUGCGCAGAUAUCAGGAGGAACACCGGUGGCGAAGGCGGGUCUCUGGGCCGUAACUGACGCUGAGGUUCGAAAGCGUGGGGAGCAAACAGG